RNAcentral lists this unclassified non-coding RNA (348 nucleotides) under Hevea brasiliensis (rubber tree). Lineage: Eukaryota; Viridiplantae; Streptophyta; Magnoliopsida; Malpighiales; Euphorbiaceae. The record is from RNAcentral.
AGAGGGGAAUCAGAAACCAAGGAGGAAGAGAUAAAUGAACUGAAUAGAAACCCUCAAAAGCAUUUCACAUUAGCCAAAGGCCAAGAAAUGUACAGCCUCUUAAACUAUAAUUUAAUAAAUCAACGGAAAAUCUUAUGAUCACUUAAUCCUGGAACGUGAACUAUAUCAAUUACAGCAGACCACCUUGUCCUAAUCAUGCAUACAUGCCGGUAGUUUAUGGAAACCAGCACUCCCAUUGAAUAUCACAGUGACGCAUGUGAGCACCCAACUAUUCAAUGUCAUGGUCUUCCAAUGCAGUAAAAAUCAUCCAGAAAAUUGUCAGAAAGAGGAGAAAAAUGAGAUAGAAGA